CGAAUAGGCGAAAGCUUGGACCAGCCAGUCGCGUGAAGGAUGAAGGAUCUAUGGAUUGUAAACUUCUUUUAUAAGGGAAUAAAGUGGAGGACGUGUACUUUUUUGUAUGUACCCUAUGAAUAAGGAUCGGCUAACUCCGUGCCAGCAGCCGCGGUAAUACGGAGGAUGCGAGCGUUAUCCGGAUUUAUUGGGUUUAAAGGGAGCGUAGGUGGUGAUUUAAGUCAGCGGUGAAAGUUUGUGGCUCAACCAUAAAAUUGCCGUUGAAACUGGGUUACUUGAGUGUGUUUGAGGUAGGCGGAAUGCGUGGUGUAGCGGUGAAAUGCUUAGAUAUCACGCAGAACUCCGAUUGCGAAGGCAGCUUACUAAACCGUAACUGACACUGAUGCUCGAAAGCGUGGGGAUCAAACAGGAUUAGAUACCCUGGUAGUCCACCCAGUAAAGCGAUGAUUACUAGGAGUUUGCGAUACACUGUAAGCUCUACAGCGAAAGCGUUAAGUAAUCCACCUGGGGAGUACGCCGGCAACGGUGAAACUCAAAGGAAUUGACGGAAG
Molecule: ribosomal RNA, 551 nt
Filed under: uncultured bacterium
Lineage: Bacteria
Description: bacterial SSU rRNA
Rfam family: Bacterial small subunit ribosomal RNA
Source: RNAcentral